CAUCUGUUGCCAGCAUUUAAGGUGGGGACUCAGAUGAGACUGCCGGUGACAAACCGGAGGAAGUGGGGACGACGUCAAGUCAUCAUGGCCCUUAUGUCCUGGGCUACACACGUGCUACAAUGGCCGGUACAGAGUGAAGCGAAACCGCGAGGUGAAGCAAAACGCAGAAAGCCGGUCUCAGUACGGAUUGGAGUCUGAAACUCGACUUCAUGAAGUUGGAAUCGCUAGUAAUCGCGCAUCAGCAUGGCGCGGUGAAUACGUUCCCGGGCCUU
This 272-nucleotide ribosomal RNA is filed under the name uncultured Spirochaeta sp. RNAcentral's name for it is "partial 16S ribosomal RNA". It matches the Rfam family "Bacterial small subunit ribosomal RNA", at positions 1109 to 1382 of the family's 1533-position model. Lineage: Bacteria; Pseudomonadati; Spirochaetota; Spirochaetia; Spirochaetales; Spirochaetaceae. The record is from RNAcentral.